Cinara cedri is the source of this 282-nucleotide non-coding RNA. NCBI's taxonomy places the organism in Eukaryota, Metazoa, Arthropoda, Insecta, Hemiptera, Aphididae. The record is from the annotation of a GenBank genome assembly.
UCGACGAUUAUUCACUAUCAGAGGUGCUCGGGCACGUUAGUACCAAACUCACCGUAUGGUGAACACCGACAAAACAAUCGUCGUUGCGCUCAGUUUCCCCGGAAACUCUGUAUGACACGGUCUAGUAAUUGGUCACAUAGUAAUUAUAAGUUUACAUAUAAUUAAUACUAAAACAAAUAUUCUACAUUAAAUAUAUAAAACUUGUGAAUUCGAUUAGAAACCCGUGCUGACGCCCAAUACCCACCUCGCCCAAAAAUUUUGAUUUUUUUUUUCACCCCGGUA